UACGUAGGGUGCAAGCGUUGUCCGGAAUUAUUGGGCGUAAAGAGCUCGUAGGCGGUUCGUCGCGUCGGCUGUGAAAUCCCGAGGCUCAACCUCGGGUCUGCAGUCGAUACGGGCGGACUGGAGUUCGGCAGGGGAGACUGGAAUUCCUGGUGUAGCGGUGAAAUGCGCAGAUAUCAGGAGGAACACCGGUGGCGAAGGCGGGAUCUCUGGGCCGAUACUGACGCUGAGGAGCGAAAGCGUGGGGAGCGAACAGG
This 254-nucleotide ribosomal RNA is filed under the name uncultured bacterium. Its description in RNAcentral is "partial 16S ribosomal RNA". It matches the Rfam family "Bacterial small subunit ribosomal RNA", at positions 524 to 776 of the family's 1533-position model. The record is from RNAcentral.